UCCAGACUCCUACGGGAGGCAGCAGUGAGGAAUAUUGGUCAAUGGGCUUACGCCUGAACCAGCCAAGUCGCGUGAGGGAAGACUGCCCUAUGGGUUGUAAACCUCUUUUGUCAGGGAGCAACGCCGGCUACGUGUAGCCGGACUGAGAGUACCUGAAGAAAAAGCAUCGGCUAACUCCGUGCCAGCAGCCGCGGUAAUACGGAGGGUGCAAGCGUUGUCCGGAAUCAUUGGGCGUAAAGAGUUCGUAGGCGGCAUGUAAAGUCAGGUGUUAAAGGCGCAGGCUCAACCUGUGUAUGGCACUUGAUACUUGCAAGCUGGAAUGCGGUAGAGGUAAAGGGAAUUCCUGGUGUAGCGGUGAGAUGCUUAGAUAUCAGGAGGAACAUCGGUGGCGUAAGCGCUUUACUGGGCCGUAAUUGACGCUGAGGAACGAAAGCCAGGGUAGCAAAUGGGAUUAGAUACCCCAGUA
This 466-nucleotide ribosomal RNA is filed under the name uncultured bacterium. Its description in RNAcentral is "bacterial SSU rRNA". It matches the Rfam family "Bacterial small subunit ribosomal RNA", at positions 330 to 792 of the family's 1533-position model. The record is from RNAcentral.